GCCUACGACCAUAUCACCCUGAAUGCGACCGAUCUCGUCUGAUCUCGGAAGCUAAGCAUGGUCGAGCCUGGUUAGUACAUGGAUGGGAGACUGCCUGGGAAUACCAGGUGUUGUUAGGCU
Ribosomal RNA from Petromyzon marinus (sea lamprey), 120 nucleotides. The record is from Ensembl. Lineage: Eukaryota; Metazoa; Chordata; Hyperoartia; Petromyzontiformes; Petromyzontidae.